GACGAACGCUGGCGGCGUGCCUAAUACAUGCAAGUAGAACGCUGAAGAGAGGAGCUUACUCUUCUUGGAUGAGUUGCGAACGGGUGAGUAACGCGUAGGUAACCUGCCUUGUAGCGGGGGAUAACUAUUGGAAACGAUAGCUAAUACCGCAUAACAAUGGAUGACACAUGUCAUUUAUUUGAAAGGGGCAAUUGCUCCACUACAAGAUGGACCUGCGUUGUAUUAGCUAGUAGGUGAGGUAAUGGCUCACCUAGGCGACGAUACAUAGCCGACCUGAGAGGGUGAUCGGCCACACUGGGACGGAGACACGGCCCAGACUCCUACGGGAGGCAGCAGUAGGGAAUCUUCGGCAAUGGGGGCAACCCUGACCGAGCAACGCCGCGUGAGUGAAGAAGGGUUUCGGAUCGUAAAGCUCGGUUGUAAGUCAAGAACGGGUGUGAGAGUGGAAAGUUCACACUGUGACGGUAGCUUACCAGAAAGGGACGGCUAACUACGUG
RNAcentral lists this ribosomal RNA (497 nucleotides) under uncultured bacterium. RNAcentral's name for it is "partial 16S ribosomal RNA". It matches the Rfam family "Bacterial small subunit ribosomal RNA", at positions 28 to 507 of the family's 1533-position model. The record is from RNAcentral.